Molecule: microRNA, 21 nt
Filed under: Dasypus novemcinctus (nine-banded armadillo)
Lineage: Eukaryota; Metazoa; Chordata; Mammalia; Cingulata; Dasypodidae
Description: dno-miR-873-3p
Gene: dno-miR-873-3p
Source: miRBase by way of RNAcentral
GAGACUGAUGAGUUCCCGGGA